ACGGAAGGCAGCAGUGGGGCAUAUUGGACAAUGGGGGAAACCCUGAUCCAGCGACGCCGCGUGAGUGAAGAAGUAUUUCGGUAUGUAAAGCUCUAUCAGCAGGGAAGAUAAUGACGGUACCUGACUAAGAAGCACCGGCUAAAUACGUGCCAGCAGCCGCGGUAAUACGUAUGGUGCAAGCGUUAUCCGGAUUUACUGGGUGUAAAGGGAGCGUAGACGGCAUGGCAAGCCAGAUGUGAAAGGCAGGGGCUCAACUCCUGGACUGCAUUUGGAACUGUCAAGCUAGAGUAUCGGAGAGGUAAGUGGAAUUCCUAGUGUAGCGGUGAAAUGCGUAGACAUUAGGAGGAACACCAGUGGCGAAGGCGGCUUGCUGGACGAUAACCGACGUUGAGGCUCGAAAGCGUGGGGAGCAAACAGGAUUAGAUACCCUGGUA
Molecule: ribosomal RNA, 434 nt
Filed under: uncultured Lachnospiraceae bacterium
Lineage: Bacteria; Bacillati; Bacillota; Clostridia; Lachnospirales; Lachnospiraceae
Description: bacterial SSU rRNA
Rfam family: Bacterial small subunit ribosomal RNA
Source: RNAcentral